Molecule: long non-coding RNA, 747 nt
Organism: Sitophilus oryzae (rice weevil)
Lineage: Eukaryota; Metazoa; Arthropoda; Insecta; Coleoptera; Curculionidae
Exons: 4
Source: RefSeq, a predicted model, not a curated record
GCGUUAUGAACCGGGUGUGUUAAAUGUAAUUGAAUAUAAAAAAGCAAAAAAGUUCAUAUGACCGUUGGAUAAGUAUGCCCAAGAUGAUUACUUAUUUAUUUAGUUUGUUCAUGGUAGCUUUAUGGAACGGGUCUAUUUAAAUGUGAUUGAACAUAAAAAAGCUAAAAGUUCAUCAAAAUAAAACGCUAAAUCACCACAAUACACCAAAACACUUUUACUUUUACACUGGAUGCGCAUUUUGCUAACCAUGUUAGCAUCAUCAGCAGAUGAUUAUAAACUGAACUGUAAAAGUUCAUGCGACCGUUGGAUAUAUAUGCCCAAGAUGAUUACUUGUUUAUUUAGUUUGUUCAUGGCAGCGUUAUGGACCGGGUGUGUUAAAUGUUCGAUUAAUUGAAUAAAAAACAAAAGUUCAUGUAUAUUAUUACCGUGAUGCUCCCCUGGGUAGAACUCUAGACUGAAAUAAAUACUGAAGAUAUAACGAUUGAUGCAAGAUUAUUUUUCUGAUAUAGCUUUUAGAAAGUAUCUGAUGCAUGUGCGUUUUACAACAAUUUAUGCUUUUAAUAGUGUUUAUUAAUUUAUGUACUAACCUUAAUAUAUUAGUUAAAAUAAUAACCUUGAUGAUAAUUAUAGAUAACCCUAAUUUUUAAGUCGAAUAAUAUCCUGAAAAGAAUGAGAGCUUUUCAUAUAGAAAAGGAAAUAAGAAUAAAGUAGUAGUAAGCAACCUUUGUUCUACCGUAAAAAACGCGU